GUAGUCGGAUUCACAUCAAUCCACAUGUGUUGGGGUGGGUUGUGGUGGAAAUUGAACUAAAUUCCACCUCAAUCCACUCCAACACAUGUGGGUUAAGAUGAAUCCGACA
Molecule: microRNA precursor, 109 nt
Organism: Sorghum bicolor (sorghum)
Lineage: Eukaryota; Viridiplantae; Streptophyta; Magnoliopsida; Poales; Poaceae
Rfam family: MIR5565 microRNA precursor family
Source: Rfam